GAAAUUGUAGCAAAAUAGUGAAAAAAAAAGAAAAUAGAAAAAAAAAGUUAAAAAAAUAGCAAAAAAAUUGCAAUAUUUUUUUUUUUGCAUAUUCGAACUGGGCUGGGCCCAGGCCAAAAAAACCUUACUCGAGGCUCGGCUCAUUUUCUAAAUGGACCUUUUUUUGCCCAUAUCCAUUUUUCGGGCCUAUAUUUUUACCCAAAC
RNAcentral lists this long non-coding RNA (204 nucleotides) under Gossypium raimondii (Peruvian cotton). RNAcentral describes it as "long non-coding RNA (GRAI_LNC000782)". The record is from RNAcentral. Lineage: Eukaryota; Viridiplantae; Streptophyta; Magnoliopsida; Malvales; Malvaceae.